GACGAACGCUGGCGGCGUGCUUAACACAUGCAAGUCGAACGGAAAGGCCUUUUCGGCGGUACUCGAGUGGCGAACGGGUGAGUAACACGUGGGUGAUCUGCCCUGCACUCUGGGAUAAGCCUGGGAAACUGGGUCUAAUACCGGAUAGGACCGCACUUUAGUGUGUGUGGUGGAAAGUUUUUUCGGUGUAGGAUGAGCCCGCGGCCUAUCAGCUUGUUGGUGGGGUAAUGGCCUACCAAGGCGGCGACGGGUAGCCGGACUGAGAGGUUGGUCGGCCACAUUGGGACUGAGAUACGGCCCAGACGCCGACGGGAGGCAGCAGGGGGGAAUAUUGCACAAUGGGCGCAAGCCUGAUGCAGCGACGCCGCGUGGGGGAUGACGGCCUUCGGGUUGUAAACUCCGUUCGCCAGGGACGAAGCGUUUUGUGACGGUACCUGGAGAAGAAGCACCGGCUAACUACGUG
RNAcentral lists this ribosomal RNA (463 nucleotides) under uncultured bacterium. Its description in RNAcentral is "partial 16S ribosomal RNA". It matches the Rfam family "Bacterial small subunit ribosomal RNA", at positions 28 to 507 of the family's 1533-position model. The record is from RNAcentral.